This 497-nucleotide ribosomal RNA is filed under the name uncultured bacterium. RNAcentral's name for it is "partial 16S ribosomal RNA". It matches the Rfam family "Bacterial small subunit ribosomal RNA", at positions 28 to 507 of the family's 1533-position model. The record is from RNAcentral.
GACAAACGCUGGCGGCGUGCCUAAUACAUGCAAGUUGAGCGAUGAAGAUUGGUGCUUGCACCAAUUUGAAGAGCAGCGAACGGGUGAGUAACGCGUGGGGAAUCUGCCUUUGAGCGGGGGACAACAUUUGGAAACGAAUGCUAAUACCGCAUAACAACUUUAAACAUAAGUUUUAAGUUUGAAAGAUGCAAUUGCAUCACUCAAAGAUGAUCCCGCGUUGUAUUAGCUAGUUGGUGAGGUAAAGGCUCACCAAGGCGAUGAUACAUAGCCGACCUGAGAGGGUGAUCGGCCACAUUGGGACUGAGACACGGCCCAAACUCCUACGGGAGGCAGCAGUAGGGAAUCUUCGGCAAUGGACGAAAGUCUGACCGAGCAACGCCGCGUGAGUGAAGAAGGUUUUCGGAUCGUAAAACUCUGUUGGUAGAGAAGAACGUCGGUGAGAGUGGAAAGCUCAUCAAGUGACGGUAACUACCCAGAAAGGGACGGCUAACUACGUG